This 253-nucleotide ribosomal RNA is filed under the name uncultured bacterium. RNAcentral describes it as "partial 16S ribosomal RNA". It matches the Rfam family "Bacterial small subunit ribosomal RNA", at positions 524 to 776 of the family's 1533-position model. The record is from RNAcentral.
GACGAACCGUGCGAACGUUGUUCGGAUUCACUGGGCUUAAAGGGUGCGUAGGCGGCCGAGUAAGUCGGGUGUGAAAUCCCUCGGCUCAACCGAGGAAUGGCGCCCGAAACUGCUCGGCUUGAGGGAGGCAGGGGCGCGUGGAACUUCCGGUGGAGCGGUGAAAUGCGUUGAUAUCGGAAGGAACGCCGGUGGCGAAAGCGACGCGCUGGACCUCUUCUGACGCUGAUGCACGAAAGCUAGGGGAGCAAACGGG